ACAUUGACAGUUCAGUGGUAUAAUUCUUGCCUUCCGUGCGGGAGAUCCAGGUUCGAUUCCUAGCCAAUGCA
RNAcentral lists this transfer RNA (71 nucleotides) under Loxodonta africana (African savanna elephant). It matches the Rfam family "tRNA". From Rfam's summary of the family: Transfer RNA (tRNA) molecules are approximately 80 nucleotides in length. The record is from Rfam by way of RNAcentral. Lineage: Eukaryota; Metazoa; Chordata; Mammalia; Proboscidea; Elephantidae.